UACGUAGGUGGCGAGCGUUGUCCGGAAUGACUGGGCGUAAAGGGAGCGUAGGUUGCGAUUUAAGUUAGGUGUGAAAGCCUGUAGCUUAACUACAGAAUUGCAUUUAAAACUGGAUUGCUAGAGUACAGGAGGGGUAAGCGGAAUUCCUAGUGUAGCGGUGGAAUGCGUAGAUAUUAGGAAGAACACCAGUGGCGAAGGCGGUUAACUGGACUGAAACUGACGCUGAGGCACGAAAGCGUGGGGAGCAAAUAGG
This 253-nucleotide ribosomal RNA is filed under the name uncultured bacterium. RNAcentral describes it as "partial 16S ribosomal RNA". It matches the Rfam family "Bacterial small subunit ribosomal RNA", at positions 524 to 776 of the family's 1533-position model. The record is from RNAcentral.